Molecule: long non-coding RNA, 4296 nt
Filed under: Gallus gallus (chicken)
Lineage: Eukaryota; Metazoa; Chordata; Aves; Galliformes; Phasianidae
Source: RNAcentral
AAACAAUUUUUAUGCAGUCUCUUACUCUAUGUGUUCUUUGUCAUCCCCUUCCUAAAUAUUUAAGUCCAUAGGCUGGAUUUGAUCAAGAGGAGGCGAUUACUUUGUGGUGACUUGUUGGGUUGUUGGUUGUUUUGCUUUUUUAUUAUUUUCUUUUAAAAGCACAGAUGUUUUUAAGUGAUGGUGACAGUACACAGUGUAGUGCGUACCUCAUCUAUUCCUUCAGUUAAAGGUGACAGUCUGCUCAUUUGUUUCUGGCAGGGCAACUGUAAAUAACAAAGGAGCAAAAAUACUCAGCUUUGACUCACUGCUUGAACUGCUGUGCUAGUAGGAGGAAUAAUUUAGUGUCUAAAUGAGCACAUUUAUAGUAUUCUCUGGGAUGCAAUAUCAAUUCUGAUAACAGGGCAGCUCAUGAUGCUCUUUAAACUCUUUUUCUUCUUCCUAGAAGUGGAAUCAGUCUCUCUCCAGAAAUGGAAUGUGAUUAAAAGAAGGAGAAAUUAUGUGAUGUUCUUGGGAAGGGUAGCAAUGGGAGUAGCAUGUUCAGUAAUCAAUUCAGUUCCAGUUCAUGUCAGUGCAGUCUGUUCUGAACAAUCAACAGAACCACACAAGUGUUAGCAGAGCUCUUGGAGCUCCGCAGGAGCAAUAAUUUAAAUUUUUAUCUUGGUUUCUAAAUUGAUAACAACUAGAUCUGCUGAUAACUUAAGAUAUAAUUGGGUUAUAACAGGGUGUAUGAAAACAGUCUCUACGAGGAUUGCUUUUUUAAGAUUUGUAUUAGUGUUGGCAGUAUAAUGCAAUCGUUUCUAGUGGUUCUACUGCAUCUAUCAGUUGAUAUUGCCUCUUGAGAUCAUGCUGUUCAUUAGCCUUGAAAUAUCUAAGUGUAAGUUCUUUUUCAAGAACUAAACUACAAAACAAAUCAAGUCUAGAAUACAUUUUCUCAGCAUUUUCACUGUGUGUUUUCCUAGUCUUCCUAGAAAUUUUGGACUAAGCAAGCAAGUUAGGCUUGUUCAAUCAUCAAAACCACGAUUCCCCAUUUAAAACUGUUAAGUGGAAAAAUGAGUUUGUUUUCCAAGAAUUUAUGAAAUAGGCUGUGAACUGUGUAAUGGUGUCCUGAUUGUUCCCCUUCUCGUUUCUUCUUUGGCCUGGCUGUUGUGCACAAGGCCACGUUCAGACAGGCAAUGAGAAGCCCAAGGUCCCGCUCAGGACUGAUAACACUGUCUUGCGAAGAGAGAUAGCAACCAUAAAUUUGUCUCAAAUUGGAGGGCUGAAAAAAAUGAUCAUCAGACACAAGGUUCAGCAACUGAGAACCAUUUGAAGAUGUGCUAGUACACAAUUGAGUAUACUAUGACUAUGCAUCAGCCAUCUUAGGCCAUUAAGAGUGAGCAGUCACCAAGGCCCCCCAGCAUGACAGCAAGCUGCACACUAUGAUCUCUCCUCAGGUAGGGAUGCAUUUCAAGGCUAUGCCUGCACAGAGAUUCUCUAUAGCUUGAUACCUUUCAGAUACAGGUCCUCAUUCAGUGAUGAAUAGCUUUAAGGUUUCUUAGCUAAGGUUAUAUCUUUGUGCACAUAUAAUCACCUAGACAUAAACCAUUAAACAAGUCUGAGAUGAGGACUGGAUUCAGCUGCACGCAGGUUCCUCUGAGAACGAGUUUAAAAAGAAGAGGGGUCCACUCUGAACAUUGUGACUCAAUGGGGCCUCGGAGAUGAGUGUGUUUAACCCUACCCCUUUGUUGUAAAUAAUCAAGGAUACCUUGCCAUUGUAUAUCUUUUUAAGUCAGUUGUCUUUAUUAAAUCAUUUUAUUGUAUGAGUAAAUAUAUUCUCACUUCUCUCUCAGAAUUGAAAUAUAGUUUCCAACCACACAGUGCUUGAGCUGCAUUAGUUGUCAGUUAUUAGACUUAAAUGAAAUGAUUUUUCUUUGGCUUAAGUGGAUCACUUUUUCUAUAUUGGUAAUACCAGAUUUCCUACUGAAUUUAAUAAAUGCAAUUCAGAAAUAGUAUGUCUCCUAACAGAUUUAGAUUUUAGAUGUCCAUGACCCUGACCUGGCAGGGUCUUCCUACAAAUAAUUGUACUGGAAUUGUUUUGUUUAUUGUGUAGAUAUGAUUUUUAAGGUCACCCAGAUGAACAGCAUUCUAGAUAGCAAUUUGAUGUGGUUUCACCUGGAGGGAGUGGAACUGACUUCAGAGUAGCAUAAGGAGGUGCCUCACUCCUCCUCCUUUUGAUAGUCCCAUUUAAAAAGCUCUGCCUAGCCAGCACAAACAGGUCAAGGCCUGCAAAACAUGGUCCUGAUGUUGUUCUUCUUGGGUUUCAUCUUUCUUAUGGCUUGCUUCAAAAAUAAUUACUACCUGGUGGUUAUGUGAUUGCUCUUCACUUCAGCUGCUUUUCCUUGCACACUUUAACAGCAAAAGCCUUGAAGCUUAUUCUAGGUUCUGCCAAGCGACAUGUACCAUAUAGAUCAAAUUGCAAUAGUGUUGUCUGAAGAACUUCCUUCUGCAGAUUUUCUCCUCCCCCAUUUAAUAACCAAGGUGAGUUGUCAGGAGAGAGGAGACUGAGGAUUUGCAUUGCAGGCUUUGUUUUUGUUGGCCUCUGAAAAUUAAGGUCAGGACCUUGAAGUUAUUGCCAGUAUUAGUAUGGUAAAUAAAAGGAAGACUGUGUGUGACCUACGUCUGAUAGACUCUGUGAGCUAAGGUUUUCAGACUAAGAGAUCACCAAGCUGGUGCAGUCACUGGAAGAGGUUUCAUGAGCCAGUAACCUGCAGAACACUAAUGUGUAGGAAGUCAGUGUGCUUCCAAACCACUCCUUUUAAUAAGUUGUUUAGUAAGACUAAUUAGCAGUUCUUAUUAAUUUAGUGUCCUAUAUGUUGCUUACCACCCUGGUAAAUGCACAUGGUAAAGGAGAGUAAAAUAUCUCACAACCUUUUUGUUCAGAAGCCUACAGUCCAGAGCAUCUGUGAUAGGUAUUGGACGGCCCAAGACAUCAUGACAAUAAUUACUACUUUUAAGCAUUUUAUUGUACAGUGUUUAGGGGCCACUGCAGAGCAUGUUUCAAAUAGCAUGCUCACAAGGUGGAUAAAAAGGUAGCUUCUCAAGGAAAUGGGAAAUAGAGUAUGCUUAGGCACUGAAGAAAUUCAUGUUGGAGUAAACUGUUUGCAAAUUAAUUCCAGCUUCUUGCAACCUGAAACAAUAGCUAUCUCUAGAUAAAAGCGGUAGCUCCCAGGAAAGAUAGAAAGCUAGCAAUAGCAAUGCCAUAAAAUGUAUGCAUGACACUUGUGGGGUUUUUUGUUGUUGUUUUUUGUUUGUUUGUUUUGGACUAUAUAUCUUUCUGAUCACACCCAACUGAGAGGAAGAGGAAUUUCCUCAUUACUUGUUGGGGCUGUUAUGGGCUUUCAGGCAGAAAUAUGACUGAUCUUCAGUAGUCAGACAGCUUGCAGUGUCCUGAUAUACUUAGAGUUUUUUGUUCACCCACGUAAAUACUGUCUCAUUUGGUAGGUGGUUGUUGUGGGAUUUUUUUUGCCUUAGAUUUGUUAUUAUUUUGUUAUGUUUAUAUUAGCAUCUUGUUUAGCUAGUUGCACUAUUUGGUUUGAUUUCUGGUUUAAUUCCUCUUUUGAGAGGGAAUUGCCUUGGGUGUUCAGGGCUGGUCAAUAUGACUGCUGCAGGACAGGUGCUUUACUCAGAUGUGAGUGUGAUGCUCAAAAAACAUUGCUUGGUUUUUGGGAAUCCAGUCACAUCACUGUUAGAAGUAAUGUGCAUCAUCUUAUUGAGUAAGGAGAAAUUUCUGGAAAAAGGCCUCUAGUAUAAGCCAGAAGAAAUGAUCUAUUCUCAUUGUGGAACGUCUAUUCUUAAUGUAUUCUUAAUUAAUAAGCAUGCUACGUGCUUAUCUUUUUUGCCCUCAGUCCACAUAACUGGAAGCAUUAUUACGAUCCUUAAAUCUAAGUUUUGUUUAGGGCUUUUUUUUUAAACUGUAUCAUAGAUUAAAGGUUAUCAGCUACAAGAAUUUCUCGUUUUACCAAUACCAUCUUCUGAAGAUUAUGUUGUUCUGAGAUUUGUAAUAAUUGUCGAUUUGCUAGCAUGAAACCAUGGCAAUUAUUUUAAGCUUUUUAAAAAUAUUCUGAAAAUACACAUUUUGUGGCACAUAAAUGAGAUCUGACAUCAUCAGAAAACUUGGUCCUAUAUCCCUAUGUUUAAUCCUUUAAAAGCAGGAAUGUUUGUUAUUGUUGUGAAGUUUUCAUUCUUUUGAACGAUGUCAGAAAGACAGUGCAUGCAUGCAUGUAACAACUGGAGAUAAGCAGUUUUCCCUUUCCCUGC